Long non-coding RNA from Nematostella vectensis (starlet sea anemone), 2211 nucleotides. RefSeq lists it as uncharacterized. The transcript has 3 exons. The record is from RefSeq and is a predicted model, not a curated record. NCBI's taxonomy places the organism in Eukaryota, Metazoa, Cnidaria, Anthozoa, Actiniaria, Edwardsiidae.
AUAGAUGCUUUGAAUGCGAGAAAAAUUCAGUUCGCUCAAGAGUGUUUACGGAACAGAAAUUUCGCGGUGAAGAAAAAACGAACGCACCAGAAGUGCGAAUUUGUUUUAUUCCCUAGCUAUUAAAACGGAGUUAUCAGCAGAAUCCAAUAUCCAAGUCCCCUACUUUGUAUUUUCUCAAGAUUUGUAUCUGGGGUAAUCAGGUAUCCAUAUAAUAAUGAUCAAAUUUGCUCAUUUUUUUCUGGCCUCUAGUUAUUGGUUUUUCGAAUUUUGCUUCCGAUGGGUUAGUUUAGCGGUCUGUUGAGUCGAUCCAAUAUUCUGUGCGAAAUUAGAGAAUGUCCUCACCACGUUAUUAAAAUAAUUUGAAUUUAGGUACAAGAGAUGCCGAUCUAACUACUUAAAAUAACUACGAUCGUAAUGCGUAAGGACCACGGCUCUGCGCACUCUAUGACGUAAAUAUCGGCGCUGCUGUUGGAGUGAUUCUAGUAACAGCAAAACAGACAGCAAAAUAAACGUAAAUCGGACUCUCUCUGAUUAUUAUUGCGCACUUGAGCACAACAUUGGCCUAUUAAAAGAGGACCAUAAAUUGUGGUGUACCCAAGGUUUAAAGCCCGGGCCACUUAAAUUAACGGUCUCUUUGAAGAAUUUUUAGCUAUUAUGGAACUAAACGUUUCCAAAAAGACAGCAAAAUGAAAUGUUGCCAAAUCUGGCGAACCACUGGUUCUGUCUCAGGGCUUGUCAUGACAAGCGCACCCAAACUUCGGAUUUCUCUGAUCCAUUUUUACUUGGAUGGAAAUAAUUUCCAUAGACAUCAAAAUUCUACUAAGCACAGGAUGAGAGACACAAGUGAUGAUUACGUUUUAAAGGCUGAAGUAUAGAUUGUUUACGGAUAGCUUUGGGGUUUCCGGGUGAUGCACUUUACGGAAUUAGCGAAAAUGACUAAAAGGGAAAGUGUCUCUCUUAAAAUGACUUGACUUUCCCUUCGCGGGUGCAUUUUUGUACAUUCACCAAUUGGCUACACCGGGGGAAUUCAAUACUUACGAUUACUCUCUCGAGAUGUCAUCUGGGAGGUAUAAACAAGACUGUACGCUAGACAUGGCUGUCACUUUUGUCAUCCUUUGCAUCCUUUUCACAUCCUUUUCUGCCAGUAACAUUAAUUUUGAAUAAUACGAAAACAAGAAAACACCAAACGAUUGUAGUACACAGAAGAAAAUAUUUGAUGUGCGCUAAAUGAACGCGUGCAGGUGUCUUUAAGGUGAUUUAACGUGGAAGUGUCAGGGGAGGGAGAAAUACUGAUAAAGAGAGAAAGAAGAUGAAAAACAGAGGGAAGGAGGAAGUAUUCAAAGAGGGUGUGGAGGGACAGUGAAAUAAUAAGGGUGGAGGAGGGAGAAAUAAUAAAGGAUGGGGGGAGAGAAAAAGAAGAAAUAAUAAGGGAGGGGAUAGAAGGGAAACAUAAUUAGGGGUGGAGGGGGAGUCGGGAGAAAUAAUGAUGGUUGAAUGGGAAGGACGCUUCUCCUAUAGUGCGGCUUCGUGUUUAACUGGGCCUCGAUUUUGUAUUCGAUAAUAUGAUUAACGCUAGUUAUAAUGCCCCCCCCUUUCCCCUCCCUCGACCCUAAGACUUUGUUGCAUCAACAGUGCUGGAACAACGUCUCGCCAGCAGUUUGCACGGGGCUUUAGCAUUUACCUUAUUAGGUGGUGUGAUCCAGCCCCCUUGGAUUUGAUCCUGAAACUUAUUACGUGCAAAGCAUUUUCACGUGCUGCCUUUGAAAUGCAAAUUAAAGGCUUUUGUUUUCCUGCGGUUAUUAUUUGUACGAUAGGCCCAGCAGUUAACUAUGAUUGGAUGAUUAUAAUUUGAAUGACAGACAAACUUGCACAUGGCUAGCAAGUAGUCACACUCGUAGAAUGGAGAGCCGAACUCUCGACUUUUGCUCUUUAAGUUUAUUCUAUAAAACAUUUACCUGGCAUUUACCUGAACUACAUUGCGUUCCGAAGGUCCAAGCUUGCUCAAAAGAUGAUCAUCAAUAAAGGAGAUCAAGGGGAAGAAGAAUCGUCAACUAACAGAUAAAUUGAAGUUCACCGUGAUUCAGCCAGCUGGAUCGACCAACAAAAGUACUUACCAGAGUCCUCGUGCCAGGUAUCUUCAAGUCUUCUGUCUUCCUCCUCGCCACUCACACUACUGCUGUCCGACUCAUUGUCAGGUGCUUCCUUCGCCAC